GCGACAGGCUUAACACAUGCAAGUCGAGGGGCAGCACAGGUAGCAAUACCGGGUGGCGACCGGCGCACGGGUGAGUAACGCGUAUGCAACUUGCCUAUCAGAGGGGGAUAACCCGGCGAAAGUCGGACUAAUACCGCAUGAAGCAGGGAUCCCGCAUGGGAAUAUUUGCUAAAGAUUCAUCGCUGAUAGAUAGGCAUGCGUUCCAUUAGGCAGUUGGCGGGGUAACGGCCCACCAAACCGACGAUGGAUAGGGGUUCUGAGAGGAAGGUCCCCCACAUUGGUACUGAGACACGGACCAAACUCCUACGGGAGGCAGCAGUGAGGAAUAUUGGUCAAUGGCCGAGAGGCUGAACCAGCCAAGUCGCGUGAGGGAUGAAGGUUCUAUGGAUCGUAAACCUCUUUUAUAAGGGAAUAAAGUGCGGGACGUGUCCCGUUUUGUAUGUACCUUAUGAAUAAGGAUCGGCUAACUCCGUGCCAGCAGCCGCGGUAAUACGGAGGAUCCGAGCGUUAUCCGGAUUUAUUGGGUUUAAAGGGUGCGUAGGCGGCCUUUUAAGUCAGCGGUGAAAGUCUGUGGCUCAACCAUAGAAUUGCCGUUGAAACUGGGGGGCUUGAGUAUGUUUGAGGCAGGCGGAAUGCGUGGUGUAGCGGUGAAAUGCAUAGAUAUCACGCAGAACCCCGAUUGCGAAGGCAGCCUGCCAAGCCAUGACUGACGCUGAUGCACGAAAGCGUGGGGAUCAAACAGGAUUAGAUGCCCUGGUAGUCCACGCAGUAAACGAUGAUCACUAGCUGUUUGCGAUACACUGUAAGCGGCACAGCGAAAGCGUUAAGUGAUCCACCUGGGGAGUACGCCGGCAACGGUGAAACUCAAAGGAAUUGACGGGGGCCCGCACAAGCGGAGGAACAUGUGGUUUAAUUCGAUGAUACGCGAGGAACCUUACCCGGGUUUGAACGCAUUCGGACCGAGGUGGAAACACCUUUUCUAGCAAUAGCCGUUUGCGAGGUGCUGCAUGGUUGUCGUCAGCUCGUGCCGUGAGGUGUCGGCUUAAGUGCCAUAACGAGCGCAACCCUUGCCACUAGUUACUAACAGGUAAAGCUGAGGACUCUGGUGGGACUGCCAGCGUAAGCUGCGAGGAAGGCGGGGAUGACGUCAAAUCAGCACGGCCCUUACAUCCGGGGCGACACACGUGUUACAAUGGCGUGGACAAAGGGAAGCCACCUGGCGACAGGGAGCGAAUCCCCAAACCACGUCUCAGUUCGGAUCGGAGUCUGCAACCCGACUCCGUGAAGCUGGAUUCGCUAGUAAUCGCGCAUCAGCCAUGGCGCGGUGAAUACGUUCCCGGGCCUUGUACACACCGCCCGUCAAGCCAUGGGAGCCGGGGGUACCUGAAGUCCGUAACCGCGAGGAUCGGCCUAGGGUAAAACUGGUGACUGGGGCUAAGUCGU
This 1443-nucleotide ribosomal RNA is filed under the name uncultured organism. RNAcentral's name for it is "SSU rRNA". It matches the Rfam family "Bacterial small subunit ribosomal RNA". The record is from RNAcentral.